GGGGCUAAUACCGGAUAACACAUGAAACCGCAUGGUUUCAGUGAUGAAAGACGGUUUUGCUGUCACUUAUAGAUGGACCCGCGGCGUAUUAGCUAGUUGGUAAGGUAACGGCUUACCAAGGCAACGAUACGUAGCCGACCUGAGAGGGUGAUCGGCCACACUGGAACUGAGACACGGUCCAG
Molecule: ribosomal RNA, 182 nt
Filed under: uncultured Staphylococcus sp.
Lineage: Bacteria; Bacillati; Bacillota; Bacilli; Caryophanales; Staphylococcaceae
Description: partial 16S ribosomal RNA
Rfam family: Bacterial small subunit ribosomal RNA
Source: RNAcentral